AGGAAAGAAGAGUUACCCAUGUGUUGCCUCAGAAACAUCUCUCUCAGUAAUAAUAUUCCUAACUCAUUAAUUUGCUCCAAUCAAAUCUGAUAGAAAGGAAUUGCACAGCAGAUUGAACUCAAGAGACAUCUGAUCUAGCAGUCAGAUGGAGGCUGAUAUCAGCUAUUUCAGUGGAAGGUGCAAAAAUCAGCUCUCAGUAGACAUCAGGUCCUCUCUGCAUCAAAAUCUUAGAAUCAUAAAAUUAUCUAGGUUGCAAAGGAUCUUGAAGUUUAUGGAGUCCAACCAUUAACCAAGCACUGUCAAGUCCACCACAAAGCCAGGUAAGUAAG
This is a long non-coding RNA of Pezoporus flaviventris, 329 nucleotides long. RefSeq lists it as uncharacterized. The transcript is spliced from 3 exons. NCBI's taxonomy places the organism in Eukaryota, Metazoa, Chordata, Aves, Psittaciformes, Psittacidae. The record is from RefSeq and is a predicted model, not a curated record.